CCUACGGGAGGCAGCAGUGGGGAAUUUUGGACAAUGGGCGCAAGCCUGAUCCAGCAAUGCCGCGUGAGUGAAGAAGGCCUUCGGGUUGUAAAGCUCUUUUGUCAGGGAAGAAACGGUGGUUCCUAAUAUGGACUACUAAUGACGGUACCUGAAGAAUAAGCACCGGCUAACUACGUGCCAGCAGCCGCGGUAAUACGUAGGGUGCAAGCGUUAAUCGGAAUUACUGGGCGUAAAGCGUGCGCAGGCGGUUAUAUAAGUCAGAUGUGAAAUCCCCGGGCUCAACCUGGGAACUGCAUUUGAGACUGUAUGGCUAGAGUGUGUCAGAGGGGGGUAGAAUUCCACGUGUAGCAGUGAAAUGCGUAGAUAUGUGGAGGAAUACCGAUGGCGAAGGCAGCCCCCUGGGAUAACACUGACGCUCAUGCACGAAAGCGUGGGGAGCAAACAGGAUUAGAUACCCUGGUAGUCCACGCCCUAAACGAUGUCUACUAGUUGUCGGGACUUAAUUGUCUUGGUAACGCAGCUACGACGUGAGUAGACCGCCGUCGGGAGGUACGGUCGCGAGAGUAAACGUACGAAGAAGUAGUACGGCGUGAGAGAGACGACGGACGACGACGAGGGAGGAGG
RNAcentral lists this ribosomal RNA (624 nucleotides) under uncultured bacterium. RNAcentral's name for it is "bacterial SSU rRNA". The stretch from base 1 to 541 matches the Rfam family "Bacterial small subunit ribosomal RNA", at positions 338 to 873 of the family's 1533-position model. The record is from RNAcentral.